This is a long non-coding RNA of Helianthus annuus (common sunflower), 870 nucleotides long. RefSeq lists it as uncharacterized. The record is from RefSeq and is a predicted model, not a curated record. The transcript is spliced from 5 exons. Lineage: Eukaryota; Viridiplantae; Streptophyta; Magnoliopsida; Asterales; Asteraceae.
CUUGGUGCAUGAGUAUGUUCAAUGAUUACAUUUCAAUACAGAAACUACGUUAGCUGAUUUGAUUUUGGGACUUAAGACCAUGACAUCCUAAAGGAUCUUCUAGGUGAUGGAACAUUCACAGUUGACCAGGAAAAAAUUGAGAUAAAAGAGAUUUUAGCAGUCAUGUGUGGUUUAACUGAAGGAGGUCUUAGAUAUGUAAUGCUUUUGAUGAUGAUGUAACUGCAUUCACUCUCAAACAAAGAAAGCUUUAAAUAUUAGACCAGAAGCUAAGUUAAAGGGAAGGGUCAAAUUGGUUGACCGAAAGGAACUUAAGCACGAGGUACCAGAUGAUUUUUGUUGAAGAAAGAAUUUGCAAGGUUUCAACAACACACAUCCAAAGUCACAGAUGUUGAGGAAUUUGCAAACAGUGUGAGUGAAGAAAGCCUAGAAAAGCUGGAGUAUCUUAAUGCAGAUUUUAACGAAACUGUCAAGACUCUUUCAUGCAGUUCCAGUGAAGACUCACCAAAGGAACCCUUGAGCUGUUGUUACAAGUUGUGUCUGGUGGCAUUUGUCGCUCAUGGGCGAAACUUAUAAGCGAUGAAGAAUCAGUGGUUAAGAAACUUGCAUACGAUGACAACUUACCAACUGAUGAAGAGAAAAAGAACUGGCAAAUGAAGCAAAUCACCUCUACUGAAGAUUAAUGAAGAAGACUCGCCAAUGAAAAAGAGAUGUCACAUGUCAGCCUUGUUAGAAGAAUAAUUAUAAGCUAGAUCAUUGUUAUUAUUUUAUUUAUUUUAUUUAUUUUACUAACAUAAGUUAUAUGUGGCGGUUAUUGUCACUAAUGUCCGUAUAUAUAUAUAUGUAAUACACAUUUGAUAUUUAUCAAUUCAC